This 253-nucleotide ribosomal RNA is filed under the name uncultured bacterium. RNAcentral describes it as "partial 16S ribosomal RNA". It matches the Rfam family "Bacterial small subunit ribosomal RNA", at positions 524 to 776 of the family's 1533-position model. The record is from RNAcentral.
UACAGAGGUCUCAAGCGUUGUUCGGAUUCAUUGGGCGUAAAGGGUGCGUAGGUGGCGCUGUAAGUCGGGUGUGAAAUUUCGGAGCUUAACUCCGAAACUGCAUUCGAUACUGCCGUGCUUGAGGACUGGAGAGGAGACUGGAAUUUACGGUGUAGCGGUGAAAUGCGUAGAUAUCGUAAGGAAGACCAGUGGCGAAGGCGGGUCUCUGGACAGUUCCUGACGCUGAUGCGCGAAAGCCAGGGGAGCGAACGGG